This is a long non-coding RNA of Orussus abietinus, 1188 nucleotides long. RefSeq lists it as uncharacterized. Lineage: Eukaryota; Metazoa; Arthropoda; Insecta; Hymenoptera; Orussidae. The record is from RefSeq and is a predicted model, not a curated record. The transcript has 5 exons.
CACUCGCAAUCACUCGCAAUGGCGAUACCAUCUCCAGUAGCCCUUGACGGCUCGCGCACUCGCGAUGGCGAUACCAUUUACCAGUAGCCCUUGACAGCUCACGUGCUCGUGAUGGUAGUACCUCGCGGCUGUUGACGGUGGUCGCUUGCCAACGCUUAACCACACUGCUCGCUUUCGACGCUAGUUCGCGGAUCGGUAUCAUCCUAAUGGGAUAACGAAUGUUCGAUGUCUCAUUAUGCUAAGCACCAAUGAAUCGUAAUAGAUGAAUCGGAACUUGUGGGUGUUAAACAUCUCGAAAACCUGAUCAUAUACAUAAGUGCCAGUACUUCAACGGAACAAAAUGGGCAUUUGUAACCUCUACGAAACAUAACAACCUCUUCGAUGAGCCAUGUGUUAUAAUUCUCUUGACUUCAAAACCAAAGAGGACAGUUGCGGUUCCACCCCGACAGAAUUGCAACGACAUACAAUUCCAAGCAACACUCGCCAAGUGCUAAAGACGAUGUCAACAUGAAAACAGGUUGGAGCUGGGAGGGGAGGACGCGUCCCAAUUUCGAGACGAAUUUCGCCCCUCUUGAGACGCACCUUGGCCAGGCUUCGUAUAAAGAUUUAUAGGUUAGCCGGCCGGAAAAGAAUUAAGGGGCUACCAGAGAAAGAGAGAAGAACGGUCACCGCGACACGACCCACGACAUUCCUGCUUUAUUUCCCUCCACUUGCCAGAGAGACUGCAUGCUGAUCUAACCAUGGAGAUAAAAGAAUGGAAAAAGGCAGUUUUCUCGCUACCCCUCCCUUCCCGUCGCGCAGGCUUCCCCCUAGUCUAAGAUGGGAUUUUGGGCUCCAUCCAUGUAUUCAUACGUCACAUCUUUUCUACGGCCACGUGGCGUACAGCAACGGACAUUAUUGCCUCCCACCAGAUGGUGCCCCAGUGCACGGCAGAGUCAUUAACGUCCGCCACUGUACAAAUAAAUCGAACCGCAUUCAGUUGAAUAUCGAUCAUCGCAUAAUGGUUUAUUAUUGUGUGCACAUACAGUCGCUCUAUGAAAAUACUUUGGCAACCCCUUAAUCGUGUGAGCACGCUUAAAAUCCACUUAGACAUAAGGUACUCGUAUUUACACACGAAGCUGUCUCUCCUCUUUAUAUCGUCUAUACAAUCAUGUAAAUGUAAUAUUCAAUAAUAAAAAUGUAACGCAA